RNAcentral lists this ribosomal RNA (399 nucleotides) under uncultured bacterium. RNAcentral describes it as "bacterial SSU rRNA". It matches the Rfam family "Bacterial small subunit ribosomal RNA", at positions 355 to 747 of the family's 1533-position model. The record is from RNAcentral.
UCGAGAAUUUUUCACAAUGGGCGCAAGCCUGAUGGAGCGACGCCGCGUGGGGGAUGAAUGGCUUCGGCCCGUAAACCCCUGUCAUUCGCGACCAACGCUAUCGGUUGAACAUUCUGAUAGCUUGAUGGUAGCGGAAGAGGAAGGGACGGCUAACUCUGUGCCAGCAGCCGCGGUAAUACAGAGGUCCCAAGCGUUGUUCGGAUUCACUGGGCGUAAAGGGUGCGUAGGUGGUUAGGUAAGUCUACUGUGAAAUCUCGGAGCUCAACUCCGAAACUGCAGCGGAUACUAUCUAGCUUGAGGAUUGGAGGGGGACUGGAAUUCUCGGUGUAGCAGUGAAAUGCGUAGAUAUCGAGAGGAACACCAGUGGCGAAGGCGAGUCCCUAGACAAUUCCUGACGCU